Non-coding RNA from Drosophila melanogaster (fruit fly), 410 nucleotides. The record is from Ensembl. NCBI's taxonomy places the organism in Eukaryota, Metazoa, Arthropoda, Insecta, Diptera, Drosophilidae.
CGACGACGGCGACCGGCCAAUCCCUUCAGCCCGAUUUUCUCGGUUAGUGUCUUUUGUUUGGCCGCGAUCUUUUCAUUCGGCGACCUCCUUUUUCCGCGCCUUCUUAUUUACUUUUUGUUUUCUUUGCUACUGGUUACACACCCCGGUCGCAAAAGCCUUGAAACACGUUCUCGAAUGGGGAUCGGAACAAGGAACAGGCGCAAAAGGUGUAGCAGAAACGAGAAGUAAACCCGUUUCGACGCCGGUUCCCCAAUCUGAUUUACCUACACUACUUCACGCACGGAGCGGCGUGAACGCACUCGGAGAAACGGGCAGCGCGUUGUACUAACAGCAUCUACACUGCUAAAAAAAAAGAGUUUAGGAUUAUGAUUCCCAAAAAUUGUACUAAUAAAAAUGAAAAUUUGCAUUGC